This 1352-nucleotide ribosomal RNA is filed under the name uncultured bacterium. RNAcentral describes it as "bacterial SSU rRNA". It matches the Rfam family "Bacterial small subunit ribosomal RNA". The record is from RNAcentral.
AUUCGAUUAGAGUUUGAUCAUGGCUCAGAACGUACGCUGGCGGCACGCCUAACACAUGCAAGUCGAACGAAGUAGCAAUACUUAGUGGCAGACGGGUGAGUAACAUGUGGGUAUCUGCCCUUUGGCCUGGAAUAACACGAGGAAACUUGUGCUAAUACUGGAUAAGUCUUUACGGAGAAAGCUUUAUGCACCAUUGGAUGAGCCCGCACUUGAUUAGUUUGUUGGUGGGGUAAUGGCCUACCAAGACCGUGAUCAAUAGCUGAUUUGAGAGGAUGAUCAGCCACAUUGGGACUGAGACACGGCCCAAACUCCUACGGGAGGCAGCAGUGGGGAAUCUUGCACAAUGGAGGAAACUCUGAUGCAGCGAUGCCGCGUGAGUGAAGAAGGCCUUUGGGUUGUAAAGCUCUUUCGUCGGGGAAGAAAAUGACUGUACCCGAAUAAGAAGGUCCGGCUAACUUCGUGCCAGCAGCCGCGGUAAUACGAAGGGACCUAGCGUAGUUCGGAAUUACUGGGCUUAAAGAGUUCGUAGGUGGUUGAAAAAGUUGGUGGUGAAAUCCCAGAGCUUAACUCUGGAACUGCCAUCAAAACUUUUCAGCUAGAGUUUGAUAAAGGAAAGCAGAAUUUCUAGUGUAGAGGUGAAAUUCGUAGAUAUUAGAAAGAAUACCAAUUGCGAAGGCAGCUUUCUGGAUCAUUACUGACACUGAGGAACGAAAGCAUGGGUAGCGAAGAGGAUUAGAUACCCUCGUAGUCCAUGCCGUAAACGAUGUGUGUUAGACGUUGGAAAUUUAUUUUCAGUGUCGCAGCGAAAGCGAUAAACACACCGCCUGGGGAGUACGACCGCAAGGUUAAAACUCAAAUGAAUUGACGGGGACCCGCACAAGUAGUGGAGCAUGUGGUUUAAUUCGAAGAUACGCGCAGAACCUUACCAACACUUGACAUGUUCGUCGCAACUUUAAGAGAUUAAAGUUUUCGGUUCGGCCGGACGAAACACAGGUGCUGCAUGGCUGUCGUCAGCUCGUGUCGUGAGAUGUUGGGUUAAGUCCCGCAACGAGCGCAACCCUCACUUUUAGUUGCCAUCAUUAAGUUGGGCACUCUGAAAGAACUGCCAGUGAUAAGCUGGAGGAAGGUGGGGAUGACGUCAAGUCCUCAUGGCCCUUACGUGUUGGGCUACACACGUGCUACAAUGGUAUCUACAACAGGAAGCGAAACAGCGAUGUUAAGCAAAUCCUUAAAAGAUACCUCAGUUCGGAUUGCACUCUGCAACUCGAGUGCAUGAAGCUGGAAUUACUAGUAAUCGUGGAUCAGCGUGCCACGGUGAAUGCGUUCCCGGGUUCUUGUACACACCGCCCGUA